This 253-nucleotide ribosomal RNA is filed under the name uncultured bacterium. RNAcentral describes it as "partial 16S ribosomal RNA". It matches the Rfam family "Bacterial small subunit ribosomal RNA", at positions 524 to 776 of the family's 1533-position model. The record is from RNAcentral.
UACGCAGGGGGCUAGCGUUGCUCGGAAUUACUGGGCGUAAAGCGCACGUAGGCGGCUUUCUAAGUCGGGGGUGAAAUCCUGGAGCUCAACUCCAGAACUGCCUUCGAUACUGGAGAGCUCGAGUCCGGGAGAGGUGAGUGGAACUGCGAGUGUAGAGGUGAAAUUCGUAGAUAUUCGCAAGAACACCAGUGGCGAAGGCGGCUCACUGGCCCGGUACUGACGCUGAGGUGCGAAAGCGUGGGGAGCAAACAGG